Molecule: transfer RNA, 72 nt
Filed under: Streptomyces tanashiensis
Lineage: Bacteria; Bacillati; Actinomycetota; Actinomycetes; Kitasatosporales; Streptomycetaceae
Description: tRNA-Ala(ggc)
Source: RNAcentral
CCCCGGCCGGGCCGGCCGGCUUCGCCCUCGGCGCGGGCGGACGGCGAACGGGCCGCGGCCGUGGCCGGGGAC